RNAcentral lists this ribosomal RNA (1343 nucleotides) under uncultured bacterium. RNAcentral describes it as "16S ribosomal RNA". It matches the Rfam family "Bacterial small subunit ribosomal RNA", at positions 28 to 1378 of the family's 1533-position model. The record is from RNAcentral.
GACGAACGCUGGCGGCGUGCUUAACACAUGCAAGUCGAACGGAAAGGCCCUGCUUUUGUGGGGUGCUCGAGUGGCGAACGGGUGAGUAACACGUGAGUAACCUGCCCUUGACUUUGGGAUAACUUCGGGAAACUGGGGCUAAUACCGGAUAGGAGCUCCUGCUGCAUGGUGGGGGUUGGAAAGUUUCGGCGGUUGGGGAUGGACUCGCGGCUUAUCAGCUUGUUGGUGGGGUAGUGGCUUACCAAGGCUUUGACGGGUAGCCGGCCUGAGAGGGUGACCGGCCACAUUGGGACUGAGAUACGGCCCAGACUCCUACGGGAGGCAGCAGUGGGGAAUAUUGCACAAUGGGCGGAAGCCUGAUGCAGCAACGCCGCGUGCGGGAUGACGGCCUUCGGGUUGUAAACCGCUUUCGCCUGUGACGAAGCGUGAGUGACGGUAAUGGGUAAAGAAGCACCGGCUAACUACGUGCCAGCAGCCGCGGUGAUACGUAGGGUGCGAGCGUUGUCCGGAUUUAUUGGGCGUAAAGGGCUCGUAGGUGGUUGAUCGCGUCGGAAGUGUAAUCUUGGGGCUUAACCCUGAGCGUGCUUUCGAUACGGGUUGACUUGAGGAAGGUAGGGGAGAAUGGAAUUCCUGGUGGAGCGGUGGAAUGCGCAGAUAUCAGGAGGAACACCAGUGGCGAAGGCGGUUCUCUGGGCCUUUCCUGACGCUGAGGAGCGAAAGCGUGGGGAGCGAACAGGCUUAGAUACCCUGGUAGUCCACGCUGUAAACGGUGGGUACUAGGUGUGGGGUCCAUUCCACGGGUUCCGUGCCGUAGCUAACGCUUUAAGUACCCCGCCUGGGGAGUACGGCCGCAAGGCUAAAACUCAAAGGAAUUGACGGGGCCCCGCACAAGCGGCGGAGCAUGCGGAUUAAUUCGAUGCAACGCGUAGAACCUUACCUGGGUUUGACAUGGAUCGGGAGUGCUCAGAGAUGGGUGUGCCUCUUUUGGGGUCGGUUCACAGGUGGUGCAUGGCUGUCGUCAGCUCGUGUCGUGAGAUGUUGGGUUAAGUCCCGCAACGAGCGCAACCCUUGUUCACUGUUGCCAGCACGUUAUGGUGGGGACUCAGUGGAGACCGCCGGGGUCAACUCGGAGGAAGGUGGGGAUGACGUCAAGUCAUCAUGCCCCUUAUGUCCAGGGCUUCACGCAUGCUACAAUGGCUGGUACAGGGAGUGGCGAGCCUGUGAGGGUGAGCGAAUCUCGGAAAGCCGGUCUCAGUUCGGAUUGGGGUCUGCAACUCGACCUCAUGAAGUCGGAGUCGCUAGUAAUCGCAGAUCAGCAACGCUGCGGUGAAUACGUUCCCGGG